AGAGUUUGAUCCUGGCUCAGGAUGAACGCUAGCUACAGGCUUAACACAUGCAAGUCGAGGGGCAGCGUGGGGUAGCAAUACUCCGACGGCGACCGGCGAAUGGGUGAGUAACACGUAUCCAACCUACCUCUGGCUCAGGGAUAGCCCUUAGAAAUGAGGAUUAAUACCUGAUGGUGUCGCAUGAUCGCAUGAGAGCGCGACUAAAGAUUCAUCGGCGAGGGAUGGGGAUGCGUCUGAUUAGUUAGUUGGCGGGGUAACGGCCCACCAAGACGACGAUCAGUAGGGGUUCUGAGAGGAAGGUCCCCCACAUUGGUACUGAGACACGGACCAAACUCCUACGGGAGGCAGCAGUGAGGAAUAUUGGUCAAUGGGCGCAAGCCUGAACCAGCCAAGUAGCGUGAAGGAUGACGGCCCUAUGGGUUGUAAACUUCUUUUGUCGGGGGAUAAAGCGGGCCACGUGUGGCCCUUUGCAGGUACCCGAUGAAUAAGGACCGGCUAAUUCCGUGCCAGCCGCCGCGGUAAUACGGAAGGCCCGAGCGUUAUCCGGAUUUAUUGGGUUUAAAGGGAGCGUAGGUGGAACGGUAAGUCAGCCGUCAAAUCGCGGAGCUCAACUCCGUCCAGCGGUUGAUACUGUCAUUCUUGAGUGCACAAGAGGCAGGUGGAAUUCGAGGUGUAGCGGUGAAAUGCUUAGAUAUCCCGAAGAACUCCCAUUGCGAAGGCAGCUUGCUGGGGUGCAACUGACACUGAGGCUCCAAGGUACCGUUACCAACCGGAUUACAUACCCCUGUUAGUCCGACAGUAAACCACGGAUGCCCCCCGAAGGCC
This 825-nucleotide ribosomal RNA is filed under the name uncultured bacterium. Its description in RNAcentral is "bacterial SSU rRNA". It matches the Rfam family "Bacterial small subunit ribosomal RNA", at positions 8 to 828 of the family's 1533-position model. The record is from RNAcentral.